This 200-nucleotide long non-coding RNA is filed under the name Elaeis guineensis (African oil palm). Its description in RNAcentral is "long non-coding RNA (EGUI_LNC047648)". The record is from RNAcentral. Lineage: Eukaryota; Viridiplantae; Streptophyta; Magnoliopsida; Arecales; Arecaceae.
ACCCGUAAGCUUCGGCCUCGUCUCUGGUUUUCCAGGCUCUUCUUCCUCCGACAACGACAGUCAGCAUGGAGCAGUUCAACUUGCUGGUUUAGCAGGUCAGGGGCCUCACCGAAGUAAUGUAGGCCAUGCAGCAGCAGUCGCAGCAGCCACAGGCAUUAGUGCGGCUAGAAAGAGCAUCAUUGGAGUUUCAAAAUUCGAUG